RNAcentral lists this ribosomal RNA (404 nucleotides) under uncultured bacterium. RNAcentral describes it as "bacterial SSU rRNA". It matches the Rfam family "Bacterial small subunit ribosomal RNA", at positions 355 to 776 of the family's 1533-position model. The record is from RNAcentral.
UGGGGGAUAUUGCACAAUGGGGGAAACCCUGAUGCAGCGACGCCGCGUGAGGGAAGACGGUCUUCGGAUUGUAAACCUCUGUCUUCGGGGACGAAGUAAGACGGUACCCGAGGAGGAAGCCACGGCUAACUACGUGCCAGCAGCCGCGGUAAUACGUAGGUGGCGAGCGUUGUCCGGAAUUACUGGGUGUAAAGGGAGCGUAGGCGGGAAUGCAAGUUGAAUGUGAAAUCUAUCGGCUCAACCGAUAGCUGCGUUCAAAACUGUGUUUCUUGAGUGAAGUAGAGGCAGGCGGAAUUCCUAGUGUAGCGGUGAAAUGCGUAGAUAUUAGGAGGAACACCAGUGGCGAAGGCGGCCUGCUGGGCUUUUACUGACGCUGAGGCUCGAAAGCGUGGGUAGCAAACAGG